This 869-nucleotide ribosomal RNA is filed under the name uncultured archaeon. Its description in RNAcentral is "bacterial SSU rRNA". It matches the Rfam family "Archaeal small subunit ribosomal RNA", at positions 4 to 872 of the family's 1478-position model. The record is from RNAcentral.
CCGGUUGAUCCUGCCAGAGGUUACUGCUAUCGGUGUUCGCCUAAGCCAUGCGAGUCAUAUGUUCUUCGUGAACAUGGCGUACUGCUCAGUAACACGUGGAUAACCUGCCCUUGGGACCGGCAUAACCCCGGGAAACUGGGGAUAAUUCCGGAUACCGCAUAUAUGCUGGAAUGCUUUAUGCGUAAAAUGGAUUCGUCUGCCCAAGGAUGGGUCUGCGGCCUAUCAGGUAGUAGUGGGUGUAAUGUACCUACUAGCCAACGACGGGUACGGGUUGUGAGAGCAAGAGCCCGGAGAUGGAUUCUGAGACAUGAAUCCAGGCCCUACGGGGCGCAGCAGGCGCGAAAACUUUACAAUGCGGGAAACCGUGAUAAGGGGACACCGAGUGCCAGCAUCAUAUGCUGGCUGUCCGGGUGUUUAAACUACACCUGUUAGCAAGGGCCGGGCAAGACCGGUGCCAGCCGCCGCGGUAACACCGGCGGCUCGAGUGGUAACCGUUAUUAUUGGGUCUAAAGGGUCUGUAGCCGGCCGGAUAAGUCUCUUGGGAAAUCUGGCAGCUUAACUGUCAGGCUUUCAGGAGAUACUGUCUGGCUCGAGGCCGGGAGAGGUGAGAGGUACUUCAGGGGUAGGGGUGAAAUCUUGUAAUCCUUGAAGGACCACCAGUGGCGAAGGCGUCUCACCAGAACGGACCUGACGGCAAGGGACGAAAGCUAGGGGCACGAACCGGAUUAGAUACCCGGGUAGUCCUAGCCGUAAACGAUACUCGCUAGGUGUCGGCCACGGUGCGACCGUUGUCGGUGCCGUAGGGAAGCCGUGAAGCGAGCCACCUGGGAAGUACGGCCGCAAGGCUGAAACUUAAAGGAAUUGGCGGG